GAUGAACUCUGGCGGUAUGCUUAACACAUGCAAGUCGAACGGACUCUUCGGAGUUAGUGGCGGACGGGUGAGUAACGCGUGAGAAUCUGGCUUUGGGUUCGGGACAACCACUGGAAACGGUGGCUAAUACCGGAUGUGCCGAGAGGUAAAAGAGAAAUUGCCUGAAGAUGAGCUCGCGUCUGAUUAGCUAGUUGGUGAGGUAAAGGCUCACCGAGGCAGCGAUCAGUAGCUGGUCUGAGAGGAUGACCAGCCACACUGGGACUGAGACACGGCCCAGACUCCUACGGGAGGCAGCAGUGGGGAAUUUUCCGCAAUGGGCGAAAGCCUGACGGAGCAAUACCGCGUGAGGGAAGAAGGCUCUUGGGUUGUAAACCUCUUUUCUUAGGGAAGAACAAAAUGACGGUACCUAAGGAAUCAGCAUCGGCUAACUCCGUG
This 435-nucleotide ribosomal RNA is filed under the name uncultured bacterium. Its description in RNAcentral is "partial 16S ribosomal RNA". It matches the Rfam family "Bacterial small subunit ribosomal RNA", at positions 28 to 507 of the family's 1533-position model. The record is from RNAcentral.